UAGACAAUUCACACCUGUAGCAUAAAGGCAG
This 31-nucleotide non-coding RNA is filed under the name Mus musculus (house mouse). The record is from RNAcentral. Lineage: Eukaryota; Metazoa; Chordata; Mammalia; Rodentia; Muridae.